AACGAACGCUGGCGGCAUGCCUAACACAUGCAAGUCGAACGAGACCUUCGGGUCUAGUGGCGCACGGGUGCGUAACGCGUGGGAACCUGCCCUUAGGUUCGGAAUAACUCCCCGAAAGGGGUGCUAAUACCGGAUAAUGUCUUCGGACCAAAGAUUUAUCGCCUUUGGAUGGGCCCGCGUUGGAUUAGCUAGUUGGUAGGGUAAAAGCCUACCAAGGCGACGAUCCAUAGCUGGUCUGAGAGGAUGAUCAGCCACACUGGGACUGAGACACGGCCCAGACUCCUACGGGAGGCAGCAGUGCGGAAUAUUGGACAAUGGGCGAAAGCCUGAUCCAGCAAUGCCGCGUGAGUGAUGAAGGCCGUAGGGUUGUAAAGCUCUUUUACCCGGGAUGAUAAUGACAGUACCGGGAGAAUAAGCUCCGGCUAACUCCGUG
RNAcentral lists this ribosomal RNA (433 nucleotides) under uncultured bacterium. Its description in RNAcentral is "partial 16S ribosomal RNA". It matches the Rfam family "Bacterial small subunit ribosomal RNA", at positions 29 to 507 of the family's 1533-position model. The record is from RNAcentral.